Molecule: ribosomal RNA, 465 nt
Filed under: Vreelandella stevensii
Lineage: Bacteria; Pseudomonadati; Pseudomonadota; Gammaproteobacteria; Oceanospirillales; Halomonadaceae
Description: partial 16S ribosomal RNA
Rfam family: Bacterial small subunit ribosomal RNA
Source: RNAcentral
CCUACGGGGUGCAGCAGUGGGGAAUAUUGGACAAUGGGCGAAAGCCUGAUCCAGCCAUGCCGCGUGUGUGAAGAAGGCCUUCGGGUUGUAAAGCACUUUCAGUGGGGAAGAAAGCCUUGGGGCUAAUACCCUCGAGGAAGGACAUCACCCACAGAAGAAGCACCGGCUAACUCCGUGCCAGCAGCCGCGGUAAUACGGAGGGUGCGAGCGUUAAUCGGAAUUACUGGGCGUAAAGCGCGCGUAGGCGGUCUGAUAAGCCGGUUGUGAAAGCCCCGGGCUCAACCUGGGAACGGCAUCCGGAACUGUCAGGCUAGAGUGCAGGAGAGGAAGGUAGAAUUCCCGGUGUAGCGGUGAAAUGCGUAGAGAUCGGGAGGAAUACCAGUGGCGAAGGCGGCCUUCUGGACUGACACUGACGCUGAGGUGCGAAAGCGUGGGUAGCAAACAGGAUUAGAUAGCCGGGUAGUC